GGAAAAGAAACCAACAGGGAUUGCCUUAGUAGCGGCGAGUGAAGCGGCAAAAGCUCAAAUUUGAAAUCUGGCUCUUUCAGAGUCCGAGUUGUAAUUUGAAGAAGGUAUCUUUGGGUCUGGCUCUUGUCUAUGUUUCUUGGAACAGAACGUCACAGAGGGUGAGAAUCCCGUGCGAUGAGAUGAUCCAGGCCUAUGUAAAGUUCCUUCGAAGAGUCGAGUUGUUUGGGAAUGCAGCUCUAAGUGGGUGGUAAAUUCCAUCUAAAGCUAAAUAUUGGCGAGAGACCGAUAGCGAACAAGUACAGUGAUGGAAAGAUGAAAAGAACUUUGAAAAGAGAGUGAAAAAGUACGUGAAAUUGUUGAAAGGGAAGGGCUUGAGAUCAGACUUGGUAUUUUGUAUGUUACUUCUUCGGGGGUGGCCUCUACAGUUUAUCGGGCCAGCAUCAGUUUGGGCGGUAGGAGAAUUGCGUUGGAAUGUGGCACGACUUCGGUUGUGUGUUAUAGCCUUCGUCGAUACUGCCAGCCUAGACUGAGGACUGCGGUUUAUACCUAGGAUGUUGGCAUAAUGAUCUUAAGUCGCCCGU
RNAcentral lists this ribosomal RNA (581 nucleotides) under Candida tropicalis. RNAcentral describes it as "eukaryotic LSU rRNA". It matches the Rfam family "Eukaryotic large subunit ribosomal RNA", at positions 55 to 652 of the family's 3401-position model. The record is from RNAcentral. Lineage: Eukaryota; Fungi; Ascomycota; Pichiomycetes; Serinales; Debaryomycetaceae.